Molecule: ribosomal RNA, 72 nt
Filed under: uncultured bacterium
Lineage: Bacteria
Description: partial 16S ribosomal RNA
Source: RNAcentral
UGGGUAACCUGCCUCAAAGAGGGGAAUAGCCCUCCCGAAAAGGGGAGAUUAAAUACCGCAUAAUAUGUUUAA